ACGGGGGGAGCAAGCGUUGUUCGGAUUUACUGGGCGUAAAGGGCGGGUAGGCGGCCACUGCAAGUCGGUUGUGAAAUCUCCGGGCUUAACUCGGAAAGGUCAAUCGAUACUGCAGGGCUAGAGUGCAGAAGGGGCGACUGGAAUUCUCGGUGUAGCGGUGAAAUGCGUAGAUAUUGGGAGGAACAUCGGUGGCGAAGGCGGCUACCUGGACGGGUACUGACGCUGAUGCGCGAAAGCUAGGGGAGCAAACAGGA
RNAcentral lists this ribosomal RNA (254 nucleotides) under uncultured prokaryote. RNAcentral describes it as "partial 16S ribosomal RNA". It matches the Rfam family "Bacterial small subunit ribosomal RNA", at positions 525 to 777 of the family's 1533-position model. The record is from RNAcentral.